Hyaena hyaena (striped hyena) is the source of this 212-nucleotide small nucleolar RNA. RefSeq annotates it as small nucleolar RNA U3. Lineage: Eukaryota; Metazoa; Chordata; Mammalia; Carnivora; Hyaenidae. The transcript has a single exon. The record is from RefSeq and is a predicted model, not a curated record.
AAGACUACACUCAGGGAUCAUUUCUACAGCUUGUUACUAGAGAAGUUUCUCUGAACAUGUGCAGUACUAGAAACUACAUAGAUGAAGGGCAAGGUGCCAUCUAGAAUGUGAAGCUCAUCCUGGGGUGUUGCUUCUGCAGCUGCCCUUUACAACUGAUGAUCUUUCUUCCCUCCUUUGGAAGAGCAAGAAAGAAGGGAAACCAUUUGAAUGGG